RNAcentral lists this transfer-messenger RNA (404 nucleotides) under Rikenellaceae. RNAcentral describes it as "Alistipes avistercoris Standard tmRNA". It matches the Rfam family "transfer-messenger RNA". From Rfam's summary of the family: Bacterial tmRNA, also known as 10Sa RNA or SsrA, is named for its dual tRNA and mRNA-like properties. Its role is to liberate the mRNA from a stalled ribosome. RNAcentral also lists the same sequence under 2 other names. The record is from RNAcentral. Lineage: Bacteria; Pseudomonadati; Bacteroidota; Bacteroidia; Bacteroidales.
GGGGGUGCCCGGUUUUGACAGCAGGCAGAGUUUGAUUGUAAGCACGCCGAGCGCUGUGUGGCGGCUCGUAAAUCCCGACGCUCAAAAAUCAAAUGGCAAUAACAGCUACGCACUCGCUGCCUAAUUUUCAAGGAAAAUUAGCUUAAUCCCCGGAGCCAAGGCGCUUCGGCGACGAGUAUCCCGAAGGGACGUUCCGCUCCUUAACGGCUCUUCACACGGGGUAUCAUUCAUUUGGAGAUAGCGAGCCGGAGGGUCCCGGUCGGCGCGCAAAAUUCAAGGGACUGGGUCUCCGGCUGGGUUGCCGCCUGCCAGGCCGGAGAAGGAGGAUCAAACGGCGGCUAAGCGUGUAGAAAGCUUUCGGGUUCCCUGUUUGGACGCGGGUUCGACUCCCGCCACCUCCACAC